This is a small nuclear RNA of Ailuropoda melanoleuca (giant panda), 105 nucleotides long. Lineage: Eukaryota; Metazoa; Chordata; Mammalia; Carnivora; Ursidae. The record is from Ensembl.
GCCGCCAUUGAUUGGUUUUGCCUAGCUUUGAAGUUUAUAUAGUGAAGAUUAGCACGGCCCUUGCACAAGGAUGACAUGCAAAUUCGUGAAGUUUAUAUGAAUGAA